Non-coding RNA from Myodes glareolus (Bank vole), 3212 nucleotides. NCBI's taxonomy places the organism in Eukaryota, Metazoa, Chordata, Mammalia, Rodentia, Cricetidae. The record is from RefSeq and is a predicted model, not a curated record.
GCUGAGUUUUCUGCUGAGAGUGUGUGUGGGAGGGUGUGGGGGGCCUGGCUAGGGUCCUAGGGGACACGGAGGCCACGCCCCAGCUCCUACUGCCUGCAUUGGAGAACACCCGGAAGUCCUGGUGGCUGGCCACCGUUCUGUGAUGAAAUGGAGUUGGAAGAAGGCUCAGCUUGCUGUUACAGCUGUUGCUUCAGAGAAAGGGUCCUUGCAAGUGUUUCAAAACUAACUCUUGGGAGUUGCUUCCAAUUGGCAGACUGGAGCAGCAGUUAAGCCUCAAGAAGAAGCGGUGAGAACAACUUUCCUAGAAGUCCACAUCCACUGGCAACCCGUGACUUAAGGAAAGGCCUGAGGCCCUCUUGGACUGCACCCGAGUCUGACCUUGGGCUGGCUCUCCUGCUGUUGCCCGCCACCUUGUGAGGAAACACGUCACUUCUAUCCCUAGGCACCCGUGCCUGACUUGUUUGACAUAGCCCAGGUAGUCUGUCAAGUCUAACCAUCCCGGAAGCCAUAGCGGAAUCUCCUCUUGGCAGAGCUACCAUAGUGUGGAACCUGCAAACCAAGCCAUUCCAUGGGACCACACUUGUGCUGACCUCUAGAGAGCCGUGUUCUGCCCAGCUCACUUAUGAGUCAACUGAGCAGCCAGCAUAGCACGAAGGCCUCCUGAGUUAGGGGCCUAUGUGGCCUCCAGGACUGGUGCAAGCUUCCCUACAACAGCAGACAGUCAAUGAUAGUCCUCUCUUGGCCCUUGGCGACUAUAGUCACAUGUGACUCCUCCUGCCAACAGGGCUCAAGAGUUGGUCAAAGGGGACAGCAGCAAAACUCUGGGGAACAGUCACCUCUAGCGAACCUAGUCUCACACCCAGGAGUGGGGUGCAGGCUCAUAGCGCCCUUCUGUUUUUGUCCGUGGAUUUGUUUGUUUGCUCCAACAGGGCUCAAGAGUUGGUCAAAGGGGACAGUAGCAAAACUCUGGGGAACAGUCACCUCUAGUGAACCUAGAAGCAUUUGGGAGGACAAAUGAGUUUAUCUCAGUUUCAGAAUCAAGGUACCAAGACACGAGCCGUCCCUCACCCUUGCCUGCCAAGGUCCUUGGGUGUGUGUGCCACAGCAAGUUCUUGCCAUGCAAGAAGCCACUCCCUCUGCACCAUCAGUCCCAGCUCUGGAAUGACAGGGGCAUGAGGGUUCUUGGGAACUCAAGAGCUACCAAAUCAGGAACCUAAAGGCAUCAUUUCAGCUGUGUUUCAAUCCAGCAAAUUCCCCUGCCAAUGCCAGGAGCCCAGACUGUCCCUGCUACUCUGCUACUUCCUAUUUGCAACCCCCCUGGUCUUCCUUGUGUGCCCUGGGGCAUCUCUAUAGCUCAGCAAGGCACAACCUCUACUGUCUCAGCAAACACCAAAUCUUCAGUAGGCCAGGGUCACUUUGCCUUGGCGGCCACACCCUCCUCCCAUCACCAUGGGGACAAGGGGGACAAGCACCCAUCUGAAAGGAGUCAUUAGCUCUGUGUGUAUCAUUCCUCCCAGCACUCAGUCCCUUCCAGAAGGUUCCACCCUCUCACUGCAGCAGCAAGACGCACCCCUGCCCCAAGCAAGGGUUUGUUCUGUCUUGUUGGCCCCGUCUGGUUUGGAUUCCUGAAUAAUGCAGUCUUUUAUUUUCAUUAAAAACUCCAAGACACCCACAUUUGAGCAGGAACUGGCUCUUAGCAGAGUGAGCCGUUAAGACAGAAGAGGCUGUGAGCCCCAGGGUGGCUCUGGGAGACAGCUGCGAGUUCAAGGGUCAGAAGCACGUCCAUCACUGCCAGACAGGUCCCACAAGCUUCUCAGGAAAGAGAAUGUUCAGAGGACACAAACAAGCAUGCUAAGGGUGCAGUUUAUCACAGGAAAAGGCCUGCAAGUGGACAUACAAGGAUGUAAGCCCAUAUGUGGACUCCCACGGCUGUACGGAGACACAGACACAGGCAUGGAUAUGCAUACAUUGGAUUGUAUGGACUCAAGAUGACUCAGCAGAGGUGGGAAGAGAUGCAUCACCCCCCGGGGCUCAAGAAGUUGUUCCUACAGAGCCUUCAAAACCACCAGGCAAAGUUCCAGGAGAAGUUGAGUGAGGCAGUGCCUUACAACUAAACUCAGAGCGGUGGGUGGGGGCCCGCGAGGGACCUAACCUCUCAGAGUUGAAAUUUAACGUUCACUUGCCCAAAACCGAUCUGAGAGUUCCCUGAUGACUGCAGACUCUAGAACCAUCCACACCUGUCCCAAACACAGCCUUCAAGAACCAAGAUUAUUUGGCUACUCUGGGCCCCACGAGGCUCUGCACAGCUGGAAUUCUGGUGAGAGUUGCGCAGAUCCGUGAGCAGCUGGGCUGCACUACUGACGCCUUCUCAGACGUCCUUGAUUGCUGUUGUUUAAUGUUUGCAUUGUUCAAUGGUUUCGAAAUACACUUUACACUUCUUUUGUUAACUUUAUCCCUUGAUAUUUUAUGAAUUUUUGAAGCUAUUAUAAGCAGGCUUUUUCUCAACUUUUGUGGGCUGUCUGUUGCCAGGGUACUCACGCGCUGGCUCUUGACUAUGGCUCUGGUGUCCCGCAAGCUUGCAGACCUCAUUAGUUCUGGCUGCUUUCUGGUGGACUCCUUGAGACUUUUUAUAAUUCAAGGCCCAGAAUCUACAAACAGAGAUGGUUUCACUUCUUGCUUCCCAAUGUGGGUGUCUUUUGUGUCUUUUUCUUGCCUAAUUGGCCUGGCUGCUCUUCCAGGACUGUGGUGAAUGGUGAAUAGGAGGGGUGAGAGCAGACAACCCUGCCUUGUUCCUGACCUCAGAGGGAGUGUCCAGCCUUAGCUGGGCUAGCUCUCCAUUUUCCAUAAAUGUCAUUUAAUAAGUUGAUGAAAUUCUUUCCGGGGGGCGGGGGGUAUGGAUUUUGCCAAAUGCAUUUUCUGGAUCUGUUGAGAAUUCCAUGAGAUAUUGUCACUCUAUCGAUAUAAUGCAAUUGUAUAAUUUCAAGAUGUUAAGACAACCUUGCUUUGCUGGGGUAAAUCCCACUUGGUCAUGGGUGUAUAAUCUUUCUGAUGUGUUGCUAGAUUUGGUUUGCUAUUUUUUUUAAGCGAGGGUUUCUCUUUGCAGUCUUGACUGACCUGAAGUUUGCUCUGUAGGGCAAGCAGGCUGCCUUGAAACUCAGAGACUUACCUGCCUCUGCCUCCCAAAUGAUAAAACUAAAGGUGUGCACCAUCCA